AUCCCUCAUCCCCCUCUCUAGACUCUCUCUCCACCAAAAGUAAAUCAAUCACCACUCACACAGAGCUCCCUCUUCACACACAUAGACACCAAUUCAAAAGAAAAAAAGAAGAAGAAAAACUCUUCCCAAACCCCAAACACUCUCUCCUGGCUCGCUCUCCCUCUCACUAGAAACAUACUCCAGAACCCAUACAAGACAAACACCUCACUCUUGUCCUCUACCCUCUCUCACAUACCACACACAAGAAAAAGAAAAAAUGGGAGGAAAGAAAGAGGAGACAAAAUAAUGUGAGUAGUUCAAGGUCAAUUGGAAAACCACCACCACCACCACCAUAUCACUCAUCACCAUAAAGGACUCGAGAGAGUUCAGGAGGACGAACCAGGGUUGAAGUGAAAGAUUUCGAUUGAUUGGACGUACUGGUGAUCCAAGAAGUACUUCGGCGGGGGAACGUUUGAAUUUGUUUUACUUGAACUGGGAACCACACUUUGAACCGUGAUUUUGAGAAAAGGGUUGAACUAGUGUAAACGUUCUUUUGUUAGCUCUUGUGUAAUCAAAACCCUAAUUGUCUUUUAAUUAAGUAUCACGUUUUUAAUUGUAAAGUUUGCAAUGUAUGUAUAUAAGUGUUUUAUCAUGUACAUUAAGUGUAUUCAUUGGAGAUGGUACCUUUGCGUUUGUUGAGAUGCUACUUGUAACUAUUGGACGAUCGGACGAGCGCAGCAUUUGAACAAGGAAAGAAAAUUCGGGCUGGAACUGUUCACCAAAUCUGGCCAUGUAUCCGACCAGUUCUUAACUGGAUAUCUGGCCGGAUUAGUAAGGGUUUUGAAAAAUUUUUGGGUUACUAACUGCCUCAUAUUUGGCAAGCGAUCCGGCCGAAAAUCUGGCCAUACCUUGGCCGGAUUGUGAUGUGUCCGUUUUUCAUUUGCAUUUUCGUCUUCAUUUUCGUUUCCUUUGGGGCGUUUGAUUGAAAUACCAUGGUACCUUAUGGUGUAGAACUCAUGUUUCUCAACUUAGAAGUCUUCGAUUGAUUGUUCUCUUGGGGAUUUGUUGUGCGCUAUAUCGGGUUUGUGUGAUUUAACUCCGUAGUCCUGGCGAGAGUUGGACAGGUGGUCCGCCGAACCCUUUGGUUCGCCUUAUGGUAAGGUGGGGCUGUCACAGAAAUAAUGUGUAUAAUCUUCAUGU
Molecule: non-coding RNA, 1179 nt
Organism: Coffea arabica (coffee)
Lineage: Eukaryota; Viridiplantae; Streptophyta; Magnoliopsida; Gentianales; Rubiaceae
Source: RefSeq, a predicted model, not a curated record